RNAcentral lists this ribosomal RNA (468 nucleotides) under uncultured bacterium. Its description in RNAcentral is "partial 16S ribosomal RNA". It matches the Rfam family "Bacterial small subunit ribosomal RNA", at positions 28 to 507 of the family's 1533-position model. The record is from RNAcentral.
GACGAACGCUGGCGGCGUGCUUAACACAUGCAAGUCGAACGGAAAGGCCCUGCUUUUGUGGGGUGCUCGAGUGGCGAACGGGUGAGUAACACGUGAGUAACCUGCCCUUGACUUUGGGAUAACUUCAGGAAACUGGGGCUAAUACCGGAUAGGAGCUCCUGCUGCAUGGUGGGGGUUGGAAAGUUUCGGCGGUUGGGGAUGGACUCGCGGCUUAUCAGCUUGUUGGUGGGGUAGUGGCUUACCAAGGCUUUGACGGGUAGCCGGCCUGAGAGGGUGACCGGCAACAUGGGGAUUGAGAUAGGGCCCGGCCGCCUACGGGGGGCAGCAGUGGGGAGUUUGGCACAGUGGGGGGGAGCCUGAUGCAGAAGCGCCGGGUGAGGGAGGACGGCUUUGGGUUUGAAACCCGUUUUCGCCUGUAAGGAGGGGUGAGGGAGGUUAGGGGGUAAAGAAGCACCGGCUAACUACGUC